This 405-nucleotide ribosomal RNA is filed under the name bacterium enrichment culture clone ALO1_GLFRUDD03GDTY5. RNAcentral describes it as "bacterial SSU rRNA". It matches the Rfam family "Bacterial small subunit ribosomal RNA", at positions 9 to 416 of the family's 1533-position model. The record is from RNAcentral.
GAGUUUGAUCUUGGCUCAGAUUGAACGCUGGCGGCAUGCCUUACACAUGCAAGUCGAACGGCAGCACGGGAGCUUGCUCCUGGUGGCGAGUGGCGAACGGGUGAGUAAUGCAUCGGAACUUAUCCUGGAGUGGGGGAUAACGUAGCGAAAGUUACGCUAAUACCGCAUAUUCUGUGAGCAGGAAAGCGGGGGACCUUCGGGCCUCGCGCUCUUGGAGCGGCCGAUGUCGGAUUAGCUAGUUGGUGAGGUAAAGGCUCACCAAGGCGACGAUCCGUAGCAGGUCUGAGAGGAUGAUCUGCCACACUGGAACUGAGACACGGUCCAGACUCCUACGGGAGGCAGCAGUGGGAAUUUUGGACAAUGGGGGCAACCCUGAUCCAGCCAUGCCGCGUGAGUGAGAAGGCC